UUACGAAAAAGCGAGGCGGUGGCGGCGGCCGCGGGCCUGGGCCGGGGUGGGGGCUCACUUGACAAGCGAAGCGAAAACACGGCCAAGAGGCCGCCAUGGGGAUGAGGUACAAGUGGGACCAGAAGGAGGGCUGGCCUGACCAGGCAGCGGGGUGGUUGGCACCUGUGACUAGGAAGCGGGGUGGUUGGCACCUGCGGGCUGGACAGUUUCUAAGGCAGCAGGUCGCUGAGAAGGAGCCGUGUCGGCGGCAGCGGGGCCCGGUGUUUGGUGUGAACCCUCAGGUGGAGCAGAGCCAAACGUGCGCCCCCGGUUGCGCCCUCCCAAGCCCCUCGCGGCGCCUUUGCAAGGACCUCGCACAUCCUGGUAGUCUCCAAGCAUGUUAACAGCUGUCUGGUGAAGUCAAAAUCCCUGCCACAAGAAUAAAGUAAAAAAACCCCGAGAACAACAACAACAGAAGCAGGAAGGAGGAGUAGGAGCAACAAAUAUGCUUAUAACCAUAAAGAACAGAAGAAAGAUGUUAAUGGUACUACAGCUUGUGUUCCUUGAGUACCAUGAGUCCAAUUGUACUGGAUUCAGGAAGAAAAAACAUAUUUAGACAGUUUUCAACAUUAUCUAAACUGACUUUUCCAGACAAAAUAUUGUUUUGUUCAUAUGGUAUAACAUUAUGCAGUCUGCCAAAGCUAAUGUCAAAUACUCUAUGUCCCAAUGGAAAGUUGAUAUCUUUUUAAAUUUAUUUUUAAAUGGCUAUAGCUUCAUGAUUCCCUGCUUGCAAGAAAAAAAACCCCCAACAUAUAGCUGGCAAUUACAAAAAGGUGUCUGUGAAGCAGAGCAAACAUUUGAAUUAGAAAUAGUUCUGGGAAAAUGGAUUAGUGGGCAGAAGGCAUGAUUCUUAAAGAUGCAUAGUAAUGUGUAAUGCAUCACAUGCACAUCAGUGAUCACCACCAUCAUGUGUGCAUACAUCCAUAUGAAUAUGAAUUGACACCUCACAGUGGACAAAAUCCAAACCUUGACCACUAUAUUAACUGCUUCAGAGAAAGAAUAAACAAUGAAAUAAUCAACAACAAAAACCACCAUAACAACCUUUCCCUCUCAGGGAGAAGGGCCAUAGAAUCCCUAAAAACUAACCACCAAAUAGUAAUAAAACCAGCAGAUUGUCCUUAACCAUGAAGACUACAUAAAAGAAGCCAACAGACAACUCUGACACCACCUACUACAAAAAACUAGCGGAUGAUCCUACUCCCCUUUUCACCUUGGAACUCAAAACUGCCAUAAAAUCAUUUCCAUCAGAACUACAAGAAAAACUACAGAACUUGAUAUCCCCACUACCCAACCCAGGGACUUUUUACAUGCUCCCUAUAAUCCACAAAUGAGGGAACCCAGGCAGGCUUCUCAUAUCUAACCAUGGAACCCUCACUGAGGAAAUAUCAGGUCUCAUCCAAUCCAUCCUAAAACAUCUUGUCACCCGAAGAGCCAGUUUUGUCCAAGACACAACAGACUUUCUAUGAAAACUUAAAAGCAUUGACCACCUUCUUAGCAACACCCUCCUAGCCACCAUGGAUGUUACCAGCUUAUAUACCAGCAUCCACACCAAGAUAGCAUUCAGUCCUGCCUUACAUAUCUACAAGAACAAGAUUGCAACUCAGAGUACAGACCCAAAGAUAUUACCGAACUUAUACACUUCAUCCUCACACACAACAACUUCACUUUCGAUAAUCAACACUUCCUCCAGACCAUGGGCACAGCUAUUGGCAUCAAAAUGGCCCCACAGUAUGCCAACCUUUUCAUGAGCAACCUGGAAGAAAAGUUCCUCAAGGACUGCACCAUCAAACUCUUGCUAUACUUAAGAUAUAAUUGAUGACAUCUUUAUCAUUUGGAUUGAAAACCUGCCAUGUCUGAUUGAUUUCCAUCAGAAAUUCAAUAUGCAGCGCUCCUCCAUCAGACUAUCUCUGGAAUACUCCAACACCAACAUUCAAUUUUUAGACACAAUGGUCACUAUCCAGAAUGGUAAAAUACAAAACACUGUAUCCAAGAAACCCAUGGACCAACAUACAUAUCUGCACAGAAACAGCUAUCACCCUAAGCACACCAAGACAGCUGUAAUAUACAGACAAGCCCUCCAAUACCACCAAAUUUGCACUGAGAAGAACAUCUGGGAUUACCACCUCACCAAACUCAAAAAGGCUUUCACUCAACAAGGACACUCCUCCAGAGAGAUAGACUGCACAAUUGGAAGAGCCAACUGGAUACCAUGUGAAGAAUUGCUGCAGUACAGAAGAAAAAACCUGCAUGAAUCGCACACCACUGGCUAUGACAUAUCAUCCCUCCCUGGAAACUAUAUCAAAAAUCCUCAAACAAUUGCAACCUGUACUAGAAGGAGAUGGAGCUGGACCUGGAAUUCUCCAGACAGCUCUCAGAGGCAGUACAGUCUAGGGACGUAGUUGUCAUGGGUGACCUAAACUACCCAGACAUCUGCUGGGAGGAGCAGUCAGCUAGAUCCAGCCAUUCACAUAGGUUCUUAACCUGCAUACAGGACCUUCACCUAACAUAGGAGGUAUACAGUACCAGUAGGGGAAACGCCUUACUGGACUUGGUCCUGGCUACAGGGGAUGAUUUGGUGGGAGAUCUACUGACACAAGGUAACAUAGGGGAUAGUGACCGUCACUUGGCUGAAUUCACUAUCCGGCAUAGGGUGGGAAAGAUAAACAGUAGAGCAGAAGUGUUAGACUUCAGAAAGACUAACUUCAGUGUGCUCAGGAGACUAGUAGCAAGGCACUGAAGAACAGGAGAACUGGUGAGAUAAGAGUCCAGGAAGAAUGGUCAUUCCUAAAGAAAGCAAUCCUAUGGGUGCAAAAGGAGCCACGAAAGGGGGCAAAGGGACCAAGAAACCCUCUUGGCUGAACAGGGAGGUCCAGAAAAGCCUAGGGACAAAAAAAGAGGCAUAUAGGCUGUGGAAGCGGGGGAGCUACCAAGGUGGAGUAUACCUACUUGCCCCACACUUGCAGGGAGGCAGUUAGAAAGGCCAAAGCAGAAAUGGAACUUAGCCUGGCAACAAAAAUUAAAGACAACAAAAAUUCCUUCAGGUAUAUAGGGAGCAAAAAGAAGGUGCAGGGUAGCAUAGGCCUCUACAAGACAAACUAAAGCAAUUAGUGACAGACACGGGGGACAAAGGUGAGCGCUUCAAUGAGUUUUUUGCCUCUGUAUUCCUGAACUCGGAUCAGGACAAAUCUCCCAGUUGGAUCAUAGACAGGCAUAAAGGGGAAACCAGCCCACCAGCUGUUAGCACUGACCUAGUGAAAAGACACUUGGAGGUGCUGGAUGUGUUUAAGUCAGCAGGCCCGGGUGAUCUUCAUCCAAGGGUGCUGAAGGAAUUGGCCAAUGUCAUAGCAGGCCACUGGCAUAGCUAUUUGAACACUCUGGGUGCUCAGGUCAGGUCUCAGAGGACUGGAAAAUGGCCAAUGUGGUCCCUAUUUUCAAGAAGGGGAGGAAGGAAGAGCUGAGUAACUAUAGCCCAGUUAGUCUUACCUCUAUCCUCAGGAAAACCUUUGAAAAAAUUAUUAAGGAUCACAUUUGUGGGAGUCCAGUGGGGAAAGCAAUGCUAAAGGGCAACCAGCAUGGAUUCAUAGCAGGUAGAACCUGCCUAACUAACCUUGUUUCUUUUUAUGGCCAGGUCACAAAAUGCUUAGAUGCAGGAAUUGAGAUGGAUGUCAUCUACUUGGAUUUUAAGAAGUUCUUAAAUAUGUUAUCUCAUUAUAUUCUCAUAGAUAAACUGAGCAACUGUGAGGUAGAUGAUUACAAGGUCAGGUGGGUGGCAAAUUGGCUUAGGGGUUGCACCCAGAGAGUGGUGGUGGAUGGGUUGGUAUCAACCUGGAAAGAUGUGGGCAGUGGAGUCCCACAAGGCUCGGUCCUUGGACUGGUGCUGUUCAAUGUCUUUAUCUAUGACUUGGAUGAGGGUGUGGAAAGCAUUCUAUCCAAAUUCGUAGAUGAUACCAAAUUAUGGGCUGAAGUUAGCACACCAGAGAGUAGGGAAUGAAUCCAGGUGGAUCUGGAUAAGUUGGAAGAAUGGGCAGAACAGAAUAGGAUGCAGUUCAAUAAGAACAAAUGCAAGGUGCUGUGCCUAGGAAGAAGGAAUCACCAGCACACUUACAGGCUAGGGGAGGACCUCCUCAGCAGCAUAGCAGUGGAAAGGGAUCUUGGAGUCACUGUUGACUCCAAGAUGAACAUGAUUCCAAGAUUCGUCACUGUGACAAAGUGAUCAACAUGGCUAACUGUACUUUAUCAUGAAUUAGCAGGUUCAUGACAAACAGUUCGAAGGAGGCGAUACUUCUCCUUUUUGUGGCAUUGGUUAGGCCACAGUUAGAGUACUGCAUCCAGUUUUGGGCGCCACAUGUCAAGAGGGAUGUGGACAACUUCAAGAAGGUUCAGAGGAGGGCCACUCAUAUGGUUAGGGGCCUGCAGGCAAAGCCCUACAAGGAGAGAUUGAGGGCUCUGGAUCUCUUCAGCCUCCACAAGAGAAGGCUGAGAGGUGAUCUUGUGGCCGUCCACAAAAUCAUCGGGGGGGCAGCAGGGAAUAAGAGAUGCUGUUUACCAGGGCACCCCUUGUAGUUACUAGGAACAACAGCCACAAACUGAUGGAGAGCAGAUUUAGGUUGGAGGUCUGGAAGAACUUCUUUACGGUAAGGGUUGCCAAAAUCUGGAAUGGGCUUCCAAAUGAGGUAGUGCUCUCCCCUACCUUGGGGGUCUUUAAGAGGUGGCUAGACAUGCACCUGGGCUGGGGUCACCUGACCCCAGUGCUCUUUCCUGCCAACGGCAGGGGAUCGGAAUCGAUAAUCUGCUAAGGUCCCUUCCAACCCAAACAUCUAUGAAUCUAUGAGACCCAGUUCUCAAAGAGAUCUUCCCAGAACCACCCAUUCGAUCCUUUAAACAAGCACUGAACCUCACCAACCUCAUCACAAGAAGCAAACUUCAUAUGGCCCAAAGCACACUGAAUGGAUCCAGACCAUGCUGGGACAAGAAAUGCAAAACCUGCCAACACAUCACUACCCCCACAAAUACUACACCCCACAACAGAACCAUCACCAUCCCCAGAUCUUACACCUGCACCUCCAGAAAUGUAAUAUAUCUCAUCCAGUGCACUAAAUGUCCUGAUGGAAAAUGCGUAAGAGAAACCAAACUACAACUGCGCACCAGAAUGAACACACACUGGAAAUCUAACAAAGACAAGAAUACCCAAUUACCUGUGGGGGCACAUUUCUCACAAGCAAACCACUCUCCCUUCAAUCUCUCAGUUCUAAUCCUCAAAGGGAAUUUACAAAAUACCUUUCACAGACAAGCCUACGAACUUCACUUCAUCACCCUACUGGAUACAAAAAAUCAUGGACUAAAUAUAGACAUUGAAUUUAUGACACAUUAUAACCUGCUUAACAUCUGAUUCCCCAGGUAAACCCUCCACUUUUUACCAGCUGUUCUCAUUCCCUUCCCCCCACCCUCCUGUCUCUCAUCCUUUGACUACAGCCACUUUCAUUCCCCCUUUCCCACCCUCCCCCACCUGUCUGUUACCUACUGACCACCUCAAUUAACAUUUUAACUGACUGUCUUUCUUGCAUAACCUGCCUAACAUCUGACUCCCCAGGUACCUCUCCACUAUUUACCAGCUACAUUCAUUCCCAUUCCCCCCACCCCCACCCCACCCCAGCCUGUCUCUCUGUCACUGACUCCUCAAUUUACAUGUUCACUGACUGGCUUUCUUGCAUGCAUACCACCUCUAUCUUCAUGGGCUACUGGUGCUGCCUUUGUCAGGGGGGGCAUGUGCCCCCCAGCAACCAGUCACUGACCAGGGGAGGAAUCCCCGGCAGCCAAUGCCACUGACCAAUCUCACUGACCAGGGGGAGUCCCCCAAAGCCGAUCAUGAGGCGGCUAAUCAUUGCAGCCGCUUCUGGAAGUGGCUGCGGCCACUUCUGGGAGCGCCACAGCGUUCCUACUCCCUGGCUGGUGCUUGCAGGGGGGGCACUGGUGCUCCUGCCUACUCCCACUGCCCAUUACCUAAGCUGUGAGUGCAGCCAGUUUGGGGGUGCACUGGUGAUCUCAGGGAGUGCACGUGCACCCCCUACAUGUCACCACUGUCUGGCUUCUUUACUAUUCAUUCCAUCCAGGAAGAGCAGAGACCAACUGCAGAUGCUUCCCCAGCCUGAUGAAGGGUAUUUGUACCCAAAAGCUUGCAAAUAAUAAUUUUUCCAACUAUUUGAGUUGAUCUAAUGAAAGAUAUCAGAUUUACUCAAAGAACCUUGUCUGCCUUUGGCCUUAGACCAACACAGCUACAACCUUUUAUACGUAUUGGCCUCUGGCUGUUUAACCACUCUAGUUAGGAAGAGCAUCUGCAUAGGUUUCCUUAGCCUGACGAAGGGUGGUUGUAUCCAAAAACUUGCUAAAAACAAUUUUUCCAACUAUUUGAGUUGGCCUAAUAAAAGAUAUUGGAUUUACCAAAAGAUCCUUUUCUGCCUAUGUCCUAGAUCCUGUCACUUCAUGCCCAUGGGUCAAAUUAAUUGUGACUGUAACUAUUAUUUUUCAUGGAAUUAGAGCAGAAUUUAAGUUGUUCUUAUGUGUUCAAACGAAUUCUGGUUGGAGUGAUGCAAAACAAAAAAUAUUAUUUGCUGUACUUAAUGACUUAUCACCCAACCAAAUCAUAAACCACUUCCAAAACUAAUUUCAUUUGUCUGUGCCCUGCAAGGGCCUAGCUUUGAAAACAGUUGAGUGCCUUAACUCCCACUGAUUUGAAUAAGAACUGUAGCACUUAAAUGUUUUCACAGGAAGUGCUCAGUAUCUGAGAAGAUCUGCAAAUGUGCAAGGACUUGCCUAGUGCCCAAACUGGCAAAACUUGCAUUGACGUGUGUGAAUUCUGUGGUUCCAGGAAUUACUCAAAACCACGUUUGUUUCUAGAGGCAAAGGAGAGUAUCAUUAAUGUUAAAAAGGUUAUUACUUGCAAGCCAGAUGUAAGUACUUGUUGGAACAGGUCAAGAUUAUGUUUUGGCCAAGUCUUGAUUUUAUAUUUAAACAUGGACAUACCAGAAUAAAAUUCAAAGAUUCAACAUGAACCCUGAGCAUUUAUAAAUUGUUGCCUUUCCUGUGUUACCUUCCAAUGAAGCAGUUUGUGUUUUAAAGGUGGGCUUUCCUUUUUUCCACAGACUAGCUGAGUGUUUUCUUUUCAGGGAUAUCCUAGUUUGUAAUACUAAACUUGGAAUUGCCACAAAUAAAAUUCUGUGAUGUUGCCAAUUCACCACAAUAGGCCAAAUUCUGCCUUGAUUUGCCUCCUGCCUCAAUUUCACAGGGAGGAAUUUGAUGCUGCAACUGGAGAGAAAAAGUUAUGAAGGAGAGGCCACUUAUCUUUUUCAGAUAGCUGCAGUAAGUAUCAGACAUCCCUGAGCAUAGGACAGACUUCGCCACUAGGAAAUAUAGCAAGUAAGAGAUGGAUAUUUUACCCAACAGGCUGACAUGAAGUUAAUACAGAACGGGUCCCUAAACCUACAGGAGAGUGAAUCCACCAACAAAUCCCUUACUUGAGAUGUUCCACAAAAAACAUAUUUUAUCUUCAGUCUUAAACAUUUAUGUGCAGCCACCAGAUGAACUAAUAAAGUACACCGGUAUGACACACAGCUCUACCAACAUAUACAUCAUCAUCACUGAUGACAACCACACCUAUGUUGCUACAAUCAAGAUAGAGAAGUGCUUGGAAGAGAUCAGCUCAUGAAUUAAGUAUUUAAAGCUGAACCUGAGAGGGAUUAUGUUGGUAGGCAAAGGAAAAUAUUUUGAAGAAUUGGCAGCCACAGUGCAGUUUCCAUAGGUACAAUUUAACCCGUAUGUUGGUAGCACUCUUGGAUUUUUUGUUGAUUCUAAGCCCUCCUAUGGCUGCAUCUGUGAUUUCUGCUUUCAACCAUCUCGAAAUGACUAUGAGCUCUGCCUCUCAUCAUAGUUAUGCUCACUUUUGUUACAUCUUGUAUGAGCUACUACUGCAAGUAUACAGUUUACAUUUCCUCAGGAUAUUAACUUCAAUUCAAGGGUCUUGGCUUUUAACUUCAAGUUGGCCAACUUAUCUAAAAGAUUGCCUAAAACUUGAGGAUGAAGGCCAUGGAAGAAAAUACCACUCUGAGGCAAAAUGGAGCAUUCUCCCACAAAAGUGAAGUUAACCUGUACAAGAGACUGAGCUUUAUUGAGGGUUGAUCUGAGACUGGAACUAAUUCUUGUAGGAACUAAGGACCACCACUGCAGGAUAUAUAUUUAAAAAUAUGAAACCCUAUCAAAACAAAUUCUUCCUAAGAGAGAAGGAGAGAGACAGAGGGAAAAAUAAUCACACAUUACAGCUGUGAGUCACAUCUCUACUGCAAGACAUUCAGACACUAUAAUGAAGACUGGGUGAUAUAAGCAGAAACGAACAGAAUCCCAAGCCUCAGACUUCUCUCUGGAUUAACUAUCAGGGGGGAAAACAAACCUGUGUGGGACCACCAGAUGGCACUAUUUCUUUAUGAAAAAUUACCCUAGAGAUAAUUUGUUUGACAAUUUUGAAAUAUUAGAUUACCCGUAUGUCAGAGCACAUUGAUGGCAUUUGCUUGUUGGCUCAGUAGACUGAAACCUGAUUUAGACCUGUGCUUGCAACCUUUUUAGACUCAAGGUGCCCUUUAUUAGACUCCAGGCAUCCCUCAGAUAAUGCCAGCAGUAAGGGGGAAAAAGAGCAAUUCUUCUGUUGCAAAGAACUCAGAAAGACCAAAACAGGUCAAAAUGUUUGUGACACUAUGGAUUCCUAAUUAAAAAUCUCUCAGUUUA
Long non-coding RNA from Alligator mississippiensis (American alligator), 8811 nucleotides. RefSeq lists it as uncharacterized. The transcript is spliced from 2 exons. Lineage: Eukaryota; Metazoa; Chordata; Crocodylia; Alligatoridae. The record is from RefSeq and is a predicted model, not a curated record.